RNAcentral lists this ribosomal RNA (292 nucleotides) under uncultured bacterium. RNAcentral describes it as "partial 16S ribosomal RNA". The record is from RNAcentral.
GGACUACAAGGGUUUCUAAUCCUGUUUGCUCCCCACGCUUUCGUGCAACAGCGUCAGUUUUCAGCCAGAUAGCCGCCUUCGCCACCGAUGUUCCUCCUAAUAUCUACGAAUUUCACCUCUACACUAGGAAUUCCGCUAUCCCCUCUGAUACUCUAGCUAAGCAGUAUCAAGAGCAAUUCUGGGGUUGAGCCCCAGGCUUUCACUCCUGACUUACAAAGCCGCCUACGCACGCUUUACGCCCAAUAAUUCCGAGUAACGCUAGCUCCCUUCGUAUUACCGCGGCUGCUGGCAC